CUAUGCGACCGUACCGCAAACCGACACUGGUGCGCGAGAUGAGUAUUCUAAGGCGCUUGAGAGAACUCAGGAGAAGGAACUCGGCAAAUUGACACCGUAACUUCGGAAGAAGGUGUGCCCUAUUAGUGUGUAGUGAACAACGAAGCAUGAAUGGGUUGCAAAAAAUCGGUGGCUGCGACUGUUUAUUAAAAACACAGCACUCUGCAAACACGAAAGUGGACGUAUAGGGUGUGACGCCUGCCCGGUGCUGGAAGAUUAAAUGAUGGGGUGCAAGCUCUUGAUUGAAGUCCCAGUAAACGGCGGCCGUAACAAUAACGGUCCUAAGGUAGCGAAAUUCCUUGUCGGGUAAGUUCCGACCUGCACGAGUGGCGUAACGAUGGCCACACUGUCUCCUCCUGAGACUCAGCGAAGUUGAAAUGUUUGUGAUGAUGCAAUCUCCCCGCGGAAAGACGGAAAGACCCCAUGAACCCUUACUGUAGCUUUGUAUUGGACUUUGAACAGAUCUGUGUAGGAUAGGUGGGAGGCUUUGAAGCAGGGUCGCUAGAUCUUGUGGAGCCAACGUUGAAAUACCACCCUGGUGUGUUUGAGGUUCUAACCUAGGUCCAUUAUCUGGAUCGGGGACAGUGCAUGGUAGGCAGUUUGACUGGGGCGGUCUCCUCCCAAAGCGUAACGGAGGAGUUCGAAGGUACGCUAGUUACGGUCGGACAUCGUGACGAUAGUGCAAUGGCAUAAGCGUGCUUAACUGCGAGACUGACAAGUCGAGCAGAUGCGGAAGCAGGACAUAGUGAUCCGGUGGUUCUGUAUGGAAGGGCCAUCGCUCAACGGAUAAAAGGUACUCUGGGGAUAACAGGCUGAUACCGCCCAAGAGUUCAUAUCGACGGCGGUGUUUGGCACCUCGAUGUCGGCUCAUCUCAUCCUGGGGCUGUAGCCGGUCCCAAGGGUAUGGCUGUUCGCCAUUUAAAGAGGUACGUGAGCUGGGUUUAAAACGUCGUGAGACAGUUUGGUCCCUAUCUUCCGUGGGCGCUGCAGAUUUGAGGAAGCCUGCUCCUAGUACGAGAGGACCGGAGUGGACACACCUCUGGUGUAUCGGUUGUCACGCCAGUGGCAUUGCCGAGUAGCAAAGUGUGGAAGAGAUAACCGCUGAAAGCAUCUAAGCGGGAAACUCGUUUCAAGAUGAGAUCUGCCGGGGCCUUGAGCCCCCUAAAGAGUCGUUCAAGACCAGGACGUUGAUAGGUCAGGUGUGGAAGCCAAAAUAAAAAGAAAAGAA
This 1267-nucleotide ribosomal RNA is filed under the name metagenome. Its description in RNAcentral is "bacterial LSU rRNA". It matches the Rfam family "Bacterial large subunit ribosomal RNA", at positions 1634 to 2892 of the family's 2925-position model. The record is from RNAcentral.